This 253-nucleotide ribosomal RNA is filed under the name uncultured bacterium. Its description in RNAcentral is "partial 16S ribosomal RNA". It matches the Rfam family "Bacterial small subunit ribosomal RNA", at positions 524 to 776 of the family's 1533-position model. The record is from RNAcentral.
UACGAAGGGGGCGCGCGUUGUUCGGAAUCACUGGACGUAAAGCGCACGUAGGCGGCGCGUUAAGUCAGGGGUCAAAUCCUGGAGCUCAACUCCAGAACUGCCUUUGAUACUGGCGUGCUCGAGUGCGGGAGAGGUUGGUGGAACUCCGAGUGUAGAGGUGACAUUCGUAGAUAUUCGUAAGAACACCAGUGGCGAAGGCGGCCAAGUGACCCUUUACUGACUCUGAGGUGCGAAAGCGUGGGGAGUAAACAGG